AUACCACUGGGCCAGCUGGCCAACCUGACUGGUCCCUCCAGUCCUCCCUCUGCGUACCAGCAGGACCUCAUAAAUUCAGGUUGGGGUUAGAAUUAGGAUUAGCGGUCACCCUCUUGUAGCUCAGACCCACUCGGUGCUGAAGCAGCUCCACGGGCUGCUUUCCAGAAGUGUCGAGGCUCUUAAAGGGCUAGUAAUACUCAAAUAAUAACAUGCGCCUAGCCAGAGACAUUUAACCCCUGAAAAGUGUCAAGGAUAAUGGAAAUGAUAAACCCAUGUCACUUCUGAGAGAUAUUUUGGGGGCUCAUUUCUUUCUUUGUGUCCUGAUGAAAGGAAAGGCAAUUUGCAUAUUCUGCUGAACCCUGAUUCUCAACCACCACAGUGUUCUGGACACUAAGUUGCAUAAUAGGAAAUUUAGGGGAGACGCUUUCCCCUUAGAGCCUUCCUGCUGCAUCUGCCACAGUUAUCCCUUCAAUAAACAGCCCCUCUCCAUGUUAUUUAAAACUCAGAAGUGCUCUCAACAACUCACUCCUGAUCAAUUAUAUGCCUAAGGUGAAGUUGGGCAUGAGCAGGUAUUUUGUAGUGAAAUGAACUACCAUUUGUAUAACACAUUGUAUUUAUGAUACAGCUUCAUUCUCAGCCCUGGGCUGGGUAUUAUUAUGACCAUUUUUGUUAGCGGGCAAACCCAGGUAUAGAGGGGCUGAUAACUUGUCCAAGAUCAUACAAGGAGAAGAGAAAGAAAUGGAACUUGAAUUCUGAUCUUUGGACUUCACAUUACAAGCAAGCAAGGCUAAUCAAAGCAAGCCUAAACAAACCCAACUGUCACUCGGAUGGAGAUCCUCUAAUGCCAACACCAGACAGAAAUACCACAUUCUUGCCCAGGAAAAUAUACUGGGGGUACUUAUGGCUAACAGAAUUAUAGGAUGAUGACAAAUGGGUCCGCUGAAGACAGGGGUAAACACCCAACAAGUUUUGGUAGCCUCAGAGGGCAGUGCAUCAGAAUGAUCUGAUAACUGGCUUUCAUACAAAUGCUCUUAAAUCAGCAGGGCAAAUGGGAUCUGAUACUGCAUUCUUGUUUCACAAGGCAGUGGGUUAGCUGGAGAUUUGGGAAACUCUUACAUCAAAAAAUGAUUAACACAAACAUUAAGACCCUCAAGAGAUAUGAUUUAAAUACUGGAAUAUUUUAUUUCUCUGAAAUGCCUCAUCCCCUGAUGAUCCCUGACAAAUCAGAUGCUACUAUAUAGAUCUGCUGAUCUCUCAGAUCUAAGUU
RNAcentral lists this long non-coding RNA (1267 nucleotides) under Homo sapiens (human). RNAcentral describes it as "non-protein coding lnc-F3-6:1". Lineage: Eukaryota; Metazoa; Chordata; Mammalia; Primates; Hominidae. The record is from RNAcentral.